RNAcentral lists this long non-coding RNA (744 nucleotides) under Monodelphis domestica (gray short-tailed opossum). RNAcentral describes it as "lncRNA (ENSMODG00000047220.1)". The record is from RNAcentral. Lineage: Eukaryota; Metazoa; Chordata; Mammalia; Didelphimorphia; Didelphidae.
AUGUAUAGCCUGUUACAUGGGAAGCAGAGAUAUUUCAAAGUGAGGAUGAUUGAAACAGAGUUUAGAGUUACUUGUCAGAGAUCAGAAGAAUACAUGCAAGAGGCUGGAGAUCCACAGUACAGAGAUGAUCCUCAAACACUGUGUCAAGGCAAGCCUGCGUUCCGAGAGGAUCUAUCAAACUUCAGGACUUAUUUCCAUGGCUCAUGGCUCACCUCAGAGAAAGGCACGAAAAUGGGAAGCCAAGUGUGGAGAGAGAGUGAAAGGGAUUCCCUAAGAACUGGAAUAUUCAGUGGGAAGUAUUGAGUGAAUGCCCCUCUCCAGUGAACAACUGCAAAAGUAAAUCCGCAUUAUGAAUACACAUAAUACAGAAAAAAAGAUAUUCACAUUGACCGUGCUCCAAUAUACUUCCAUCUGGAUUGAAAUUCACCUCUCUGGAGGAGGUGAGUGGUAUGUUUCAUCUUCAGGCUUCUGGACUUGUGAUUUGUCUUUACAUUGAUCACAUUUCUAAAGUCUUUCAGAGUAUAUAUUUCAUAUUUUCUAAAGUUUGGCUUGACUUGGGUCAAAACUAGAAGGAAUAGGUCCAAGGAGCAGAGCAGGAGAUUUAGGCUAUUUCCUACCAAUAGUUACAUUAACAUAGAAUGGGUUACUUUAGGAAGUGGUGAGUUCUCCCUCACUUGAUGUCUUCAAGACAAACCUGAAUGAGUACUUUCUGGGAAUACAAUAGAUACAAUAAGAAGGACUGGG